This 75-nucleotide transfer RNA is filed under the name Fallopia aubertii. RNAcentral describes it as "tRNA-Glu". Lineage: Eukaryota; Viridiplantae; Streptophyta; Magnoliopsida; Caryophyllales; Polygonaceae. The record is from RNAcentral.
CGCGAAUUAUGGAACAAGGCGCAUCCAGCGAUUUUAUCGAAAUCGAAGUUUCUAAUUCGAGAUCUGAUCUCGCGU